UUGAAGGAAAAGAUGAUGAGG
This is a non-coding RNA of Caenorhabditis elegans, 21 nucleotides long. The record is from Ensembl. NCBI's taxonomy places the organism in Eukaryota, Metazoa, Nematoda, Chromadorea, Rhabditida, Rhabditidae.